Molecule: transfer RNA, 96 nt
Filed under: Cronartium ribicola 11-2
Lineage: Eukaryota; Fungi; Basidiomycota; Pucciniomycetes; Pucciniales; Coleosporiaceae
Description: tRNA-Und (NNN) (tRNA-Und-NNN-114-1)
Source: RNAcentral
GGUUAGGUAGCCAGCUAGCGGUUAAGGCAGCCCAUACGAGUUGGGUCCGAGUACAGACGCAGUACUUGGUCGCUGGUUCGAAUCCGGCUCUGACCA